AAUCAACGCUGGCGGCGUGCCUAACACAUGCAAGUCGAACGCGAAAGCCCCGCAAGGGGUAAGUAGAGUGGCCAACGGGUGAGUAACACGUGGGUGACCUGCCUUCGAGUGGGGGAUAACGUCCCGAAAGGGACGCUAAUACCGCAUGACAUCCUGCUUUUGAAAAAGCGGAGAUCAAAGCUGGGGAUCGCAAGACCUAGCGCUUGAAGAGGGGCCCGCGCCUGAUUAGCUAGUUGGUGAGGUAACGGCUCACCAAGGCGACGAUCAGUAUCCGGCCUGAGAGGGCGGACGGACACACUGGGACUGAGACACGGCCCAGACUCCUACGGGAGGCAGCAGUGGGGAAUUGUUCGCAAUGGGCGCAAGCCUGACGACGCAACGCCGCGGGGAGGACGAAGAUCUUCGGGUCGUAAACUCCUGUCGAGCGGGACGAACGCUUCGCGGAUGAAUAAUCCGCGGAAUUGACGGUACCGCUAAAGGAAGCCCCGGCUAACUCCGUG
RNAcentral lists this ribosomal RNA (500 nucleotides) under uncultured bacterium. RNAcentral describes it as "partial 16S ribosomal RNA". It matches the Rfam family "Bacterial small subunit ribosomal RNA", at positions 29 to 507 of the family's 1533-position model. The record is from RNAcentral.